GACGAACGCUGGCGGCGUGCUUAAUACAUGCAAGUCGAACGGAAAGGCCCUGCGCUUGCUGGGUGCUCGUUAGCCGAACGGGGGAGAGACACGUGAGGAUACUGCACUUGACUUUGGGAUAACUUCAGGAAACUGGGGCUCUUACCGGAUAGGAUCUCCUGCUGCAUGGUGGGGGAUGGAAAGUGUCGGCUGUUGGGGAUGGACUCGCGGCUUACCCGCUUGUUGGUGGGGUAGUGGCGUACCAAGGCUAUGAGGGGUAGGCGGCCUGAGAGGGUGACCGGCCACCAUGGUACUGCGGUACGGCCCAGACGCCUACGGGCGGCAGUAGUGGGGAAUAUUGCACAAUGGGCGGAAGCCUGAUGCAGCAACGCCGCGUGCGGGAUGACGGCCUUCGGGUUGUAAACAGAUUUCGCAGGUACCGAAGCGUGAGUGACGGUAAUGGGUAAAGAAGCCCCGGCUAACUACGUG
Molecule: ribosomal RNA, 468 nt
Filed under: uncultured bacterium
Lineage: Bacteria
Description: partial 16S ribosomal RNA
Rfam family: Bacterial small subunit ribosomal RNA
Source: RNAcentral